UGUGGGAGCGAGCCUGCUCGCGAUAGCGGCGUGUCAGUCAAAACAAUAUUGACUGGUUAUCGCGAGCAGGCUCGCUCCCACA
This 82-nucleotide unclassified non-coding RNA is filed under the name Pseudomonas sp. NFACC39-1. Lineage: Bacteria; Pseudomonadati; Pseudomonadota; Gammaproteobacteria; Pseudomonadales; Pseudomonadaceae. RNAcentral also lists the same sequence under 1 other name. The record is from RNAcentral.